UCCAGGAGCAGGUGAGCCACUGACUAACGCACAUUGUGCUCUCGGUGACUCCACUGUGCGUGUGACAGCGGCUAACCUGCUCCUCGGACAUCCCCGG
This 97-nucleotide microRNA precursor is filed under the name Calypte anna (Anna's hummingbird). Its description in RNAcentral is "mir-210 microRNA precursor family". It matches the Rfam family "mir-210 microRNA precursor family". Lineage: Eukaryota; Metazoa; Chordata; Aves; Apodiformes; Trochilidae. The record is from Rfam by way of RNAcentral.